This 721-nucleotide ribosomal RNA is filed under the name Mycobacterium sp. L2008. Its description in RNAcentral is "bacterial SSU rRNA". It matches the Rfam family "Bacterial small subunit ribosomal RNA", at positions 19 to 744 of the family's 1533-position model. Lineage: Bacteria; Bacillati; Actinomycetota; Actinomycetes; Mycobacteriales; Mycobacteriaceae. The record is from RNAcentral.
CUGGCUCAGGACGAACGCUGGCGGCGUGCUUAACACAUGCAAGUCGAACGGAAAGGUCUCUUCGGAGAUACUCGAGUGGCGAACGGGUGAGUAACACGUGGGCAAUCUGCCCUGCACUUCGGGAUAAGCCUGGGAAACUGGGUCUAAUACCGAAUAGGACCACUUGGCGCAUGCCUUGUGGUGGAAAGCUUUUGCGGUGUGGGAUGGGCCCGCGGCCUAUCAGCUAGUUGGUGGGGUGAUGGCCUACCAAGGCGACGACGGGUAGCCGGCCUGAGAGGGUGUCCGGCCACACUGGGACUGAGAUACGGCCCAGACUCCUACGGGAGGCAGCAGUGGGGAAUAUUGCACAAUGGGCGCAAGCCUGAUGCAGCGACGCCGCGUGGGGGAUGACGGCCUUCGGGUUGUAAACCUCUUUCACCAUCGACGAAGGUCCGGGUUUCUCGGAUUGACGGUAGGUGGAGAAGAAGCACCGGCCAACUACGUGCCAGCAGCCGCGGUAAUACGUAGGGUGCGAGCGUUGUCCGGAAUUACUGGGCGUAAAGAGCUCGUAGGUGGUUUGUCGCGUUGUUCGUGAAAUCUCACGGCUUAACUGUGAGCGUGCGGGCGAUACGGGCAGACUAGAGUACUGCAGGGGAGACUGGAAUUCCUGGUGUAGCGGUGGAAUGCGCAGAUAUCAGGAGGAACACCGGUGGCGAAGGCGGGUCUCUGGGCAGUAACUGAC